ACUCAAAGGAAUUGACGGGGGCCCGCACAAGCGGUGGAGUAUGUGGUUUAAUUCGAAGCAACGCGCAGAACCUUACCUGGGUUUGACAUCCCGUGACGCCUGCAGAGAUGUAGGUUCCCUUUCGGGGGCACGGAGACAGGUGCUGCAUGGCUGUCGUCAGCUCGUGUUGUGAAAUGUUGGGUUAAGUCCCGCAACGAGCGCAACCCUUGCCUUUAGUUGGUACCAGUAAGAUGACCACUCUGAAGGGACUGCCGGUGUUAAACCGGAGGAAGGCGGGGAUGACGUCAAGUCCUCAUGGCCCUUACAUCCAGGGCUACACACGUACUACAAUGGUAGAAACAGACUGCCUCGCAAGACCGUAAGGUGGAGCUAAUCAGAAAAACACUACCUCAGUUCGGAUUGAGGUCUGCAACCCGACCUCAUGAAGCUGGAAUCGCUAGUAAUCGCAGAUCAGCACGCUGCGGUGAAUACGUUCCCGGGCCUUGUACACACCGCCCGU
RNAcentral lists this ribosomal RNA (499 nucleotides) under uncultured bacterium. RNAcentral's name for it is "partial 16S ribosomal RNA". It matches the Rfam family "Bacterial small subunit ribosomal RNA", at positions 899 to 1397 of the family's 1533-position model. The record is from RNAcentral.